RNAcentral lists this ribosomal RNA (411 nucleotides) under Serratia sp. J67. Its description in RNAcentral is "bacterial SSU rRNA". It matches the Rfam family "Bacterial small subunit ribosomal RNA", at positions 321 to 724 of the family's 1533-position model. The record is from RNAcentral. Lineage: Bacteria; Pseudomonadati; Pseudomonadota; Gammaproteobacteria; Enterobacterales; Yersiniaceae.
GACCCAGGAUCAACACUCCUACGGGAGGCAGCAGUGGGGAAUAUUGCACAAUGGGCGCAAGCCUGAUGCAGCCAUGCCGCGUGUGUGAAGAAGGCCUUAGGGUUGUAAAGCACUUUCAGCGAGGAGGAAGGGUUCAGUGUUAAUAGUACUGUUCAUUGACGUUACUCGCAGAAGAAGCACCGGCUAACUCCGUGCCAGCAGCCGCGGUAAUACGGAGGGUGCAAGCGUUAAUCGGAAUUACUGGGCGUAAAGCGCACGCAGGCGGUUUGUUAAGUCAGAUGUGAAAUCCCCGCGCUUAACGUGGGAACUGCAUUUGAAACUGGCAAGCUAGAGUCUUGUAGAGGGGGGUAGAAUUCCAGGUGUAGCGGUGAAAUGCGUAGAGAUCUGGAGGAAUACCGGUGGCGAAGGCGG